RNAcentral lists this long non-coding RNA (1355 nucleotides) under Cyanistes caeruleus (blue tit). RNAcentral describes it as "lncRNA (ENSCCEG00000009526.1)". The record is from RNAcentral. Lineage: Eukaryota; Metazoa; Chordata; Aves; Passeriformes; Paridae.
CUCUGAGGUGCUUUUAAAUUAUAAAUGGUAAUCAUAAUAAUCUUCCAAUAGAUGUAGUAGAUUUAAUAAACCAUUCUCAAUGCAAACUCUAAUUUAGAGAUGUCAUUAUUGCAUACACUUUGAAAAGUCUAUUGAGGAAAUGUUGAGUGACUAAGUCUAGGAAAAAUCUGAAGGUUUAAUUAAAUUUUAUUGGCUUCUCAUUCUUGACAGUGACUUCUAUGCCAAUGCAGUGCCUAAGAAGAGGGCAUCAUAUCCCCCAAAAGAGACUCAACAAUGAAUUCUGUGUAUCAGUGAAGGGUUCUUUGAGAGAGUUAAUCAACACAGCUGUGAGGAAUGGAGAGUUCCCUUUCACUGAAAUGGGGCCCACUUCUGAGAGUGUGGCUGACACAAUCUGUUCUUUUGUAUUGGUGAUAUAUGCAAGCUGAAGAACAUCAGUGCUGAGUCAUCUGCCUAAGAGUCCCACACUAUAAAUGUGAUGGAUUGUAACAUUUUGCAGAGCACAAAAGGUAAUUGAGUGGAGUCAAUUAGGAAAGUAGGAGGGCUUAGUGAAGGAGAGGUGAGCAAUCUGUAAACUACUGUGACAUCUUUUUUGGCUGUGUUUUUCAAAACAGCUUAGUAGGCCAUCUAGCCUUUAAAUUUAAGGGAUAAUUGGAAACAGCUACUUUGAAAAUUCUGGCCUUAUGAAAAAAUUAGAGGUCUGUUAUUGUAGAGAAAGGAAUUUUCAGAGCAAUGAAGGUUGCAAACAAAUGCAUUCCUUAGAAAUGUGAGAUGCUUUAAGUGAUAUUAAACCAAGAAUUUUAUUCUAUUCAGAAUUUAUUGAAUGCAGAGUCAUUCAUUACAAUAGUUGCCAUACUUGCAAGUCAAAAGCAGUACUUUUUGCCUCAUUAAUAUGUAUUUAGAAAGCAGAUCCUUAUAACAAGUUACUUCUCUUUUAUUAGGCCACAUUGUCACUGUGUUGUUGACGGAUUCUUUACUCUCCUGACCAAAAUAAUAUGCCAGUUACUUAAACAGUCCUAGUUUUCCUCAACAUGUUUGUUUUUGCAGGGACAGGAGCUGGAGUCAAAGAUCCCUCUAAGUUCCUUCCAUCUCAGCACAUUCUGUGAAUUUAUUGAGAAGACAUGGCUGGGGUCACAAAAAGAAGAUGACUGACUGAGCUCUCCAGAACUUUCCUUAAGGAUUUCCUUAGCGCAUUUCUAAUUAGAGAAAAAAGAUAACGUGACAAAAUUCAUCUUACAUUUUACAGGUAUUGCUUCACACCAGCUGGUUUUCUAAGUUAUUACUCUGAAAGGCACUGUUUUAGCACUGUCUUUUUCAUAACACUUCAAAUAAAGCUUUAAUUUUAGGAGGUAAUUGCA